This is a long non-coding RNA of Xenopus tropicalis (tropical clawed frog), 555 nucleotides long. RefSeq lists it as uncharacterized. The record is from RefSeq and is a predicted model, not a curated record. Lineage: Eukaryota; Metazoa; Chordata; Amphibia; Anura; Pipidae. The transcript has 2 exons.
CCCCACAGGCACCAUCACAAACGACUCCAUUGUUUCACAAUCCUUCAUCAGACUUUCUGACCGCUAAACUCCAUAUCUCAGCUUGCUCAUCUAGCUGAAGCAAUAAAUGAAGCUUGAUUCCCUAUUCUGCUGUGCACGGCAGUUUUGAAAGCCACAUCUCUAGAAGCACAUCAAUAAUUUAGACCAACUUCUGAGAACUACUUAAAUGAAACAAGGGCUGUGCAAUAAAUCAUAUCAGAAAUAACUAAAAGUCUUUAAUAUGUAUAAAGUACACGAGAGAAUCGAAAGGGUGACAUGAGACAUCCCAGGGCGUUCUGAAGGCACGAGAAAUUUUCCAAGGAACGAUGAAAAAGACAAAAACAAGACUUAAAGACAAAAAGAUUUAAAGAACUGAAGAUUUGGACUCGCUAUGAGAAUUACAGGGAAAGGUGGCGGGGUUUUGCAGCCCAGCAUUCAGGGGCAAACACUGAGAGUGUAAUUAUACUGCACAUGAGACUAAAUGUGUUAAAAAUCAAAGGAAAAAUAUAGCUAACAUUAAAGAGAUUUUAUCUGAAA